UAGAUCGAGUGGCAUUCGAUAAAGUUAAAGUGAAAUGACACUAGAGAUAGUGUGAGGUAAAGAAUGAUGAAAAUGACAAUGUUUAAAGUUAAAGUAAUGUGGGGAGUAAAGAACAUGAAAUGCUAGAGGUAGCCAAAAGUAAAGAAUGUAAAGAAUAUAAUUGCUAGAGUUAGCAAGAGUAAUGAAUGGUAAAGAACAAUGAUUGCUAGAGUUAGCAACAUAAAGUGAUGUAAAGAACACUAGAGUUAGUGUA
Molecule: long non-coding RNA, 253 nt
Filed under: Ananas comosus (pineapple)
Lineage: Eukaryota; Viridiplantae; Streptophyta; Magnoliopsida; Poales; Bromeliaceae
Description: long non-coding RNA (ACOM_LNC037624)
Source: RNAcentral